UUAUAUAAUAAUGUUUUUAUUAAACUUACCAUAAAUUAAUUAUUAAUGAUAUUUAUUCUUUCUGUAAUUAAAAAUUACGGAAUUGCUUAAUGUGUCUAAAAUAUAUAUGACGAUUUUGAAUAAUAAAGAUUUGAUAAAGAAAUUUGUAUAGCCUAUAUUAUUUUUUAAUUUGAACUUAUUAAAAUAAAUUAACCAACCACAUUAACCAUAUAAAAAAAAUUAGAUUUUUCGGUAUAUGUUAUAUUUUGAAUUUUUUACGACUAAAAAUUACUAAAACUGUUAAAAUUCUCAAAUUGAAAAUUUUUGUGAUCCAUAGUUUAAUUUUUUUUUGUUAUGACAAGGUACAAAUGAUUACAAGAUCAUAUAAGUAAGAAGUCUCAUUUAAUAAAUAUUAAGUUUAAAAGAUACAUAUAUAUAUUAUCUUUAAAUAAAUAUGUACCAGAUAAAAAUACAUAAAUAUUUUAAUACCUAAAUUUGUUUUGAACAAUUUUUCUUUUGAUAAAAGCUUUGAAAUAAUAUUGAUAACUUAAUAUUAAAAUUUUUAACUCUAUAUUGAAUUUUUUAAAAAAUUAUAAAUUAGUAAAACUAUUAAACAUUCUAGAAUGAAAAUUUUGUUAUCAGUGAUUUAAAGUUUUUCUUAUAAGAAGAUACAAAAGAUCAAUAACAAUUUUCACCAUUCUCGGACUUGACCGAUUCAAAAUAUAACACAAUUGUUUAAGAUAAUAAGAUAAUAUACUAUAAAAAUAAUACAUAAGCGUGUGGGUCUUCUCAAAUAUGGUCCCACUAAAAUUUUAUAAUAAAAAUUAAUAGAUAAAUUUUGUAUAAAUGUAAACAAAACAUUAUUUUGUUUUCACCAUGAACUGAAUCGCUAAUUAUUCUUAGCCAUUCACAACAUUUUGAUAUUGUUUUAUCAUUUUAUUUGUAAAACACAUUUGCAUUAUAUAAUCCAUAUCUUAUAUACAUCAAAUUAUUUAACAAGAACAAGUUGAAAGAGAAAGUUUAGAUUAAUUAAUAUAUAAGCCAAGAAUAAAAUGAUUUUUUCACUACAAAAAAAAUAGUGAAUUGAAUCACUUAAGUUGUAUCAUAAAAAUAAGUGAUACUAUUUUACAUUACUUAUUCUCAAAUGAAACAAAUAUCCAUAAUUUAAAAUCAGUUAUAACAAUUGACGUUAUUAUGAAUUGAUUUAACAUCAGUUUAAUUAAUUGAUAUAAUUUUUACUAAUUUGUAUCAUUUUAACGGAACUGAUAUUAUUUUAAAAUUUUAAAUCGCUUAAAUAACUGAUACAUGUGUUUAUUUUUGGCUAACGUCAUUUGUUAGAAUGUUACAAAACUUACGUCAAUAAAUAACUGAUACAAACAAAAUAGAUUUUCUUUUUGUUAUUUUACCUUAGUUUGCAUCAUUUAAAAUAUUUGUUCUAUUAUAAAACAUUUUAAAAAAUAUCAGCUAAACUUACGUGAAAUUAGUUACGAUUUCUGCGAUUUUUUUUUAUGGUUUUAAUUUAUAAUUGACCCAUGUUCUUCUAUAACUGCUUCAUGAUCUCAAAAAAGUCACAUUAUCUGUCAAUAUUCUCACUCAUCUGUUCGUGUUGCUUCUCAAUUUCCUCAACUUUUUUAUAAGUUCCAAAUUUAUUGUUCUAGGCUACUUGAUAAGAAAAAUUCACACAUAUGAUAUAAUCAUGAUGAUAAUGAUUAUAUUUUUUUCUUAUGCAGGGUUUGAAAGUAAAGAAGAAUCUGCUAACUGGACGAAUCUGAUAAAAAAAUCUGAAAAGAAUUCAUUCUUUUCUGUGGCAAAUGAAGAAUCACUUGCAUAUUUAAAGGAGUAGAAGUCUCGGGAAAAAACAGAUGAUGGAAAAUUCUUCAAUAAUCAAUUGAGUUUCAGGCUACAAAUGGAGACCGAAGAUGAAGAUAAAAAAAGAAGAAUUCUUUUUAAUUUACAAUCCUUUUCUCUAUAUGAAUUCAAGUUCUUUCAUCUUCAUGCUUUUUGUGGAGUCUAUGUAUUUUUUUUCUUGUUCUUCAGAUUAUCGUCAAUGAAAAAUAGUUUUUGGAAAAGCA
Molecule: long non-coding RNA, 2051 nt
Organism: Brassica napus (rape)
Lineage: Eukaryota; Viridiplantae; Streptophyta; Magnoliopsida; Brassicales; Brassicaceae
Exons: 2
Source: RefSeq, a predicted model, not a curated record